CGUCGUGAGACAGGUUAGUUUUACCCUACUGACAAAGUAGAUACUGCGACAGUAGUCGAAGUUAGUACGAGAGGAACACUUCGUCCAGAUACUUGGUUAAUGCCGUUGUCUGAAAAGACAGUACGGCGAAGCUACCAUCUGCUGGAUUACGGCUGAACGCCUCUAAGCCGGAAUCCAUGCUGGAUAAGCAGUGUUGUACACCGUGCUCAAUGCUACAAGAAAAAGGCUAGGUCAGGCUUCGGCCUGACCAAAAUUCAAGCUGCUAUACCUCUGGCUGCAUUGACUUGUGGUCAGAGUGUAUGGUGAUCAUAGCAAUUGCAAGUAUUGGGCUCGAUAAAUCCUUUGAAGACGACUUAAUUGCAUCCGGGUAUUGUAAGUGUUGAGAGUAGGCUUAGUCUUACGAUCCACUGAGAUUCAUCCCGUGUUGCGCCGAUUUGU
RNAcentral lists this non-coding RNA (438 nucleotides) under Perkinsus marinus ATCC 50983. RNAcentral describes it as "Eukaryotic large subunit ribosomal RNA". It matches the Rfam family "Eukaryotic large subunit ribosomal RNA", at positions 2969 to 3401 of the family's 3401-position model. The record is from Rfam by way of RNAcentral. Lineage: Eukaryota; Perkinsozoa; Perkinsida; Perkinsidae.